GUCCUUCACUUUGCAGGUGCGUUCUCGGUGGUGCGGGUAAGUGAGGAAAUUAAACAGAAGAAAGGAAAAUAGAAGGUGAACCAAAUAGAGGGGCACGGUCGGGUAGCAGAGGACGGAAGUGCGUGCAUUUGCAUGUCCGUGUUCAUGUGCUUCCCUCUCGGUGUGGUUACUUACUUAGUGGGAGGGAACUUGAGAGAAUUAGAGAGUUGGCAAAGAGUUAGGUGACGGGAGAACGAAGGAGAAGGACAGGUCUUUGAGAGAAUUUUUCUACUACGAGGUACCUGCGACACGAACUAGGGCCACUACGUGCGGUAGAAGUAGGUUUGGGAACGCGCCAACGCGGUCCAAGAAGAGGUGGUACAGUACUUAGGUAAGUCCCUUCUACUUCAAGCAUGGCAGCUGACAUGUACUUCUUAAGACGUACAUGCAGAUGUGACAAGCAGCUCAAGUAGCGUGGCAAGGUAGUUUGAGCUCAAGGUACUUCUGCUUCCACUACUGAUACUGUUGAUACCGCUAGGCAUCCUCACUCCAGUGCACCUGAUGUAGCUGACGGACACCGACUCUACCUCAGUGAUGUGUAACAUGAAAGGCGAUAAAAAGACUUACAUUAUUCACAGUACUCGGUAAAUAGAUCCAUACGGAACCCCGUUCUAUAUAAAUUUAAACAUUAUGGAAAAUGUAUAACACGUUACUAUAGUAAAGCGACACAACAUUUGUUACUAGGACCCCAAAUGUUUAUAUGUGUCCUCCCAGACCUUCAAUUAAGGUCUAAGAGUGUUG
RNAcentral lists this ribosomal RNA (780 nucleotides) under Triticum aestivum (bread wheat). RNAcentral's name for it is "partial small subunit ribosomal RNA". Lineage: Eukaryota; Viridiplantae; Streptophyta; Magnoliopsida; Poales; Poaceae. The record is from RNAcentral.